RNAcentral lists this long non-coding RNA (670 nucleotides) under Pongo abelii (Sumatran orangutan). RNAcentral describes it as "lincRNA". Lineage: Eukaryota; Metazoa; Chordata; Mammalia; Primates; Hominidae. The record is from RNAcentral.
GAGAAGCCAGCUCCCAUGUAAGAAGUUCAAAUACCUAGAGACUGUGAUGGUGUGCAGAGGCUCAAGCUAACCACAUGGAAAGACAUGGAGAGAUAUUCCUUGCAAACCCUCAACUACUCCAACUAUUCUAAGACAUCAAACCUGUGAGUGAAAAAGCCAUCUCAUACCUUAACAACUCUAGCAGAUGCCACAUAGUGUAGAGAUAAGCUCUCUCUGUCAUUCUCUGUCAAAACUGUAAAAUCAUAAGCUAAUAAAUAAUCACAGUUGCUUCAAGUUACUACAUUUGGGCAUAGUAUUUUAAGCCACUGUGUUUGAGAUGGUUUGUUAUACAGCAAUAGAUAACUAAAAAACAAGUCCCUUGACUUAGACUUGGCCACUCAACUUGCUUGGCCAAUGGAAUGGGGUAGAAGUGAUGGUGUGCUUAUUCCCAGCCUGGGCCUUAAAAGGCUUUGCCUGUUUCCACUUGCCUUCUUGUACCUCUGCUAUUGUCAUAAGAAAAGCAGACCCCAGGUCACCCACCGGUCUGAAGAGGAGGAUGAGAGACAAAAAAAAAAGUUGUCUGGCUGCCUCUGCUGCCUACAGAUUGAAGAAGAUCCAUCCAGCUGAGCCCAGCCUAGACCAGCUGACUUCUCCAAUAAGCAUGUAUGAAAUAAAUGCUUAUUGUUAUGUG